CCAGCAGCUGCGGUAAUUCCAGCUCCAAUAGCGUAUAUUUAAGUUGCUGCAGUUAAAAAGCUCGUAGUUGGAUUUCGGGUGGGAAUGGCCGGUCCGCCGUUUCGGUGUGCACUUGCUACGCCCACCUUGCUGCCGGGGACGUGCUCUUGAGUUCACGCUCGGGACACGGAGUCGGCGAGGUUACUUUGAGUAAAUUAGAGUGUUCAAAGCAGGCCUACGCUCUGAAUACAUUAGCAUGGAAUAACACGAUAGGACUCUGGCCUAUCUGUUGGUCUGUGGGACCGGAGUAAUGAUUAAGAGGGGUAGUCGGGGGCAUUCGUAUUCCGUUGUCAGAGGUGAAAUUCUUGGAUUUACGGAAGACGAACAUUUGCGAAAGCAUUUGCCAAGGAUACUUUCAUUGAUCAAGAACGAAAGU
This 415-nucleotide ribosomal RNA is filed under the name uncultured eukaryote. RNAcentral's name for it is "SSU rRNA". It matches the Rfam family "Eukaryotic small subunit ribosomal RNA", at positions 567 to 990 of the family's 1831-position model. The record is from RNAcentral.